Molecule: ribosomal RNA, 492 nt
Filed under: uncultured bacterium
Lineage: Bacteria
Description: partial 16S ribosomal RNA
Rfam family: Bacterial small subunit ribosomal RNA
Source: RNAcentral
AGUGAACGCUGGCGGUAGGCCUAACACAUGCAAGUCGAACGGCAGCACAGUAAGAGCUUGCUCUUACGGGUGGCGAGUGGCGGACGGGUGAGGAAUACAUCGGAAUCUACUUUUUCGUGGGGGAUAACGUAGGGAAACUUACGCUAAUACCGCAUACGACCUACGGGUGAAAGCAGGGGAUCUUCGGACCUUGCGCGAUUGAAUGAGCCGAUGUCGGAUUAGCUAGUUGGCGGGGUAAAGGCCCACCAAGGCGACGAUCCGUAGCUGGUCUGAGAGGAUGAUCAGCCACACUGGAACUGAGACACGGUCCAGACUCCUACGGGAGGCAGCAGUGGGGAAUAUUGGGCAAUGGGCGCAAGCCUGAUCCAGCCAUACCGCGUGGGUGAAGAAGGCCUUCGGGUUGUAAAGCCCUUUUGUUGGGAAAGAAAAGCAGCAGGUUAAUACCCCGCCGUUCUGACGGUACCCAAAGAAUAAGCACCGGCUAACUUCGUG